UGUGGGAGCGAGUUUGCUCGCGAUAGCGUCCGUUCAGUUGGCAUUCAUGUUGACUGACCCGCCGCCAUCGCGAGCAAGCUCGCUCCCACA
RNAcentral lists this unclassified non-coding RNA (90 nucleotides) under Pseudomonas sp. NFACC43. The record is from RNAcentral. RNAcentral also lists the same sequence under 1 other name. Lineage: Bacteria; Pseudomonadati; Pseudomonadota; Gammaproteobacteria; Pseudomonadales; Pseudomonadaceae.